GGAUUAGUGGCGAACGGGUGAGUAACACGUGGGCAAUCUGCCCUGCACUCUGGGACAAGCCCUGGAAACGGGGUCUAAUACCGGAUACUGACCACUGGGGGCAUCCUCGGUGGUCGAAAGCUCCGGCGGUGCAGGAUGAGCCCGCGGCCUAUCAGCUUGUUGGUGAGGUAGUGGCUCACCAAGGCGACGACGGGUAGCCGGCCUGAGAGGGCGACCGGCCACACUGGGACUGAGACACGGCCCAGACUCCUACGGGAGGCAGCAGUGGGGAAUAUUGCACAAUGGGCGAAAGCCUGAUGCAGCGACGCCGCGUGAGGGAUGACGGCCUUCGGGUUGUAAACCUCUUUCAGCAGGGAAGAAGCGAAAGUGACGGUACCUGCAGAAGAAGCGCCGGCUAACUACGUGCCAGCAGCCGCGGUAAUACGUAGGGCGCGAGCGUUGUCCGGAAUUAUUGGGCGUAAAGAGCUCGUAGGCGGCUUGUCACGUCGGUUGUGAAAGCCCGGGGCUUAACCCCGGGUCUGCAGUCGAUACGGGCAGGCUAGAGUUCGGU
This 550-nucleotide ribosomal RNA is filed under the name Streptomyces sp. PC5068. Its description in RNAcentral is "bacterial SSU rRNA". It matches the Rfam family "Bacterial small subunit ribosomal RNA", at positions 89 to 652 of the family's 1533-position model. The record is from RNAcentral. Lineage: Bacteria; Bacillati; Actinomycetota; Actinomycetes; Kitasatosporales; Streptomycetaceae.